CGGAUUGUAGGCUGCAACUCGCCUACAUGAAGUCGGAAUCGCUAGUAAUCGCGGAUCAGCAUGCCGCGGUGAAUACGUUCCCGGGCCUUGUACACACCGCCCGUCACACCAUGAGAGUUUGUAACACCCAAAGCCGGUGGGGUAACCUUUUGGAGCCAGCCGUCUAAGGUGGGACAGAUGAUUAGGGUGAAGUCGUAACAAGGUACC
Molecule: ribosomal RNA, 207 nt
Filed under: uncultured bacterium
Lineage: Bacteria
Description: partial 16S ribosomal RNA
Rfam family: Bacterial small subunit ribosomal RNA
Source: RNAcentral